Molecule: ribosomal RNA, 425 nt
Filed under: uncultured bacterium
Lineage: Bacteria
Description: bacterial SSU rRNA
Rfam family: Bacterial small subunit ribosomal RNA
Source: RNAcentral
GUGGGGAAUAUUGCACAAUGGGGGAAACCCUGAUGCAGCGACGCCGCGUGAAGGAUGAAGUAUUUCGGUAUGUAAACUUCUAUCAGCAGGGAAGAAGAUGACGGUACCUGACUAAGAAGCCCCGGCUAACUACGUGCCAGCAGCCGCGGUAAUACGUAGGGGGCAAGCGUUAUCCGGAUUUACUGGGUGUAAAGGGAGCGUAGACGGCGAUGCAAGCCAGAUGUGAAAGCCCGGGGCUCAACCCCGGGACUGCAUUUGGAACUGCGUGGCUGGAGUGUCGGAGAGGCAGGCGGAAUUCCUAGUGUAGCGGUGAAAUGCGUAGAUAUUAGGAGGAACACCAGUGGCGAAGGCGGCCUGCUGGACGAUGACUGACGUUGAGGCUCGAAAGCGUGGGGAGCAAACAGGAUUAGAAACCCUAGUAGUCC